Molecule: ribosomal RNA, 515 nt
Filed under: Dactylellina leptospora
Lineage: Eukaryota; Fungi; Ascomycota; Orbiliomycetes; Orbiliales; Orbiliaceae
Description: SSU rRNA
Rfam family: Eukaryotic small subunit ribosomal RNA
Source: RNAcentral
UUUUAUUUUUGGUUGGCAGCAGCCAGUAUACAGUGAAACUGCGAAUGGCUCAUUAAAUCAGUUAUCGUUUAUUUGAUAGUACCUUACUACUUGGAUAACCGUGGUAAUUCUAGAGCUAAUACAUGCUAAAAAUCCCGACCUCCGGAAGGGAUGUAUUUAUUAGAUAAAAAACCAAUGCCUUCGGGCUCCUUGGUGAUUCAUGAUAACUUAACGAAUCGCAUGGCCUUGCGCCGGCGAUGGUUCAUUCAAAUUUCUGCCCUAUCAACUUUCGAUGGUAGGAUAGUGGCCUACCAUGGUUUCAACGGGUAACGGGGAAUUAGGGUUCGAUUCCGGAGAGGGAGCCUGAGAAACGGCUACCACAUCCAAGGAAGGCAGCAGGCGCGCAAAUUACCCAAUCCCAAUUCGGGGAGGUAGUGACAAUAAAUACUGAUACAGGGCUCUUUUGGGUCUUGUAAUUGGAAUGAGUACAAUUUAAAUCCCUUAACGAGGAACAAUUGGAGGGCAAGUCUGGCCCC